RNAcentral lists this long non-coding RNA (660 nucleotides) under Malus domestica (apple). RNAcentral's name for it is "long non-coding RNA (MDOM_LNC015333)". Lineage: Eukaryota; Viridiplantae; Streptophyta; Magnoliopsida; Rosales; Rosaceae. The record is from RNAcentral.
UUAAUUUUUUUAUAGAGAUAAUAAGAUAAAAAAUAAUAAGAAUAUAAAAUGUUGACGUGACUUAACUAUGACCGCACAAAUAGAAAAUGAUGAGAAUGACACUCAAAUAGGAUGACAGACAAUCUGCCUCCUUCUUUUAAAGCUAUCAACUAAGAAAUUACUUGUGUUUUUACUAGUUUCGUGCCUCAAAUACAAAACUAAAGAGCAAGUAUCAACUAUUCAACUAUUCAAGCAUGUAUUUGACUGGGGUUUUCUUUCUUAAUUAAUGUUUCCGUCUUUUAUGCAAAUUUUACAUGUAAUAUGGUUCACAAUAGACUAGUAAUAACAUGGUUUAAAUUCGUUAUCAAUAUGUCUAUAUAGUGUUACUAACAUGGAUUUGAUAUUCGAUUGUUAUAAGGAAAACUAAUGAAAAACGGUUUGAAAACUUUGAGUUUUAACGAUAAGGACAAAAUAAAGGGUAAAGUGAAUAGAACCAUGAUUGAUUUUUGGGAACUUUAAUGAAAAGCUCCCGGUACUGUUCAUUUUAACGAAAAACCAUAUUUUUACACUAAAAAGUCAAUCCUGGUACUAUUCACUUUACCUUUUAUUUUGUCCUUAUCGUUAAAACUCAAAGUUUUAAGGUCAUUUUCAUUAGUUUUCCUUUGAUUUUUUAGUGUAAAC